RNAcentral lists this ribosomal RNA (546 nucleotides) under Lodderomyces parapsilosis. Its description in RNAcentral is "eukaryotic LSU rRNA". The stretch from base 206 to 359 matches the Rfam family "5.8S ribosomal RNA". The record is from RNAcentral. Lineage: Eukaryota; Fungi; Ascomycota; Pichiomycetes; Serinales; Debaryomycetaceae.
UGGAAGUAAAAAUCGUAACAAGGUUUCCGUAGGUGAACCUGCGGAAGGAUCAUUACAGAAUGAAAAGUGCUUAACUGCAUUUUUUCUUACACAUGUGUUUUUCUUUUUUUGAAAACUUUGCUUUGGUAGGCCUUCUAUAUGGGGCCUGCCAGAGAUUAAACUCAACCAAAUUUUAUUUAAUGUCAACCGAUUAUUUAAUAGUCAAAACUUUCAACAACGGAUCUCUUGGUUCUCGCAUCGAUGAAGAACGCAGCGAAAUGCGAUAAGUAAUAUGAAUUGCAGAUAUUCGUGAAUCAUCGAAUCUUUGAACGCACAUUGCGCCCUUUGGUAUUCCAAAGGGCAUGCCUGUUUGAGCGUCAUUUCUCCCUCAAACCCUCGGGUUUGGUGUUGAGCGAUACGCUGGGUUUGCUUGAAAGAAAGGCGGAGUAUAAACUAAUGGAUAGGUUUUUUCCACUCAUUGGUACAAACUCCAAAACUUCUUCCAAAUUCGACCUCAAAUCAGGUAGGACUACCCGCUGAACUUAAGCAUAUCAAUAAGCGGAGGAA